CAGAGCUUCCUGUGCCCUGUUUCUGGAAGUUGUGCUUUCUCCCUGGGCCUCCCGCAUCUCCAGCCGCGAGUGCCCUCCUGUUCUCCUUCCUCUGUGGAGCCUUCCCCGCUGACUCGGGUUUUGGCUCCUCACACCCUCAGGUUGUUCCGUGAGCGUGUGUGACCCGGGGCCGCUCUCUGCGGGAGGCGAGGUUCUCCACACCGGGAGCCUCAGGGAGCAGCUAGGCUUCCUUCUCCCUUCCACGUCACAGCCUGCUGCUUUCUUUGACCCUAUCCUGGGUCUGGAGGUAUCAGUCUUCGACUGCCUGCUCCCUCUGCUCCACUGGCUUGUAGCACUGGUCCCAUUUACAAAGGGAAGACUGAGGCCAGGGCCGUCUCUGCCCGGUGCAUCCCCAUGAGCCCAGCGCCAAGCGCAGCCCCUGCACAUUGCAGGGCCUCCAGAUCUGUUGGAUGAACGAAUGAAUGAUUUCUGGGAACUCUUCAGCCUCUCUGAGAAGCCGAAACUGGCCCUGAACUGGUUUGUCUUCUCUUUGGACCUGGUGACCCGUGACAUUUGCCGCUCCCCUCCGACCGGAAGAUGCGCACGGGUCGGCAUCCGUCCUUGAAGCCGUCGUCAGGGUGUCUCGAGUAGGAAUGCAAGGCCAAGCGGGAUUCAACCCUCCGUGACGGAUGGGUCAGUAUCUCAGAUGGUGACCAAGCCUCCGCUCCGAGAGGACCGCUGAGUAAGGAGCAGCGCCCUACGGGGCAGAAAUGCAGAAGAGAAGACGAACGCCCAGCCAGCAGCCUGGGGAACCCGCCGGCAUCAGAGGCGUCCAGGCUGAGGGUGGUCUCAGCGGGCGCUCUCCUGGCCCCCAGGUUCAGGCACUAAGUCGCUCCACCUCAACUCUCUGUUCCUGGUUCUCCUGCCCUUUGCACGUCCAUCCCUCUGUCUGGAAGCCAAACACAUCGAGGGCGCCCCCAGGCUGCCCGUCAGGAAGGUGCAGAAGCCCUGCCUGGGGCGGUGGGUCCGUAACCACCCCGCUCCCACCCACAGACAGUAUAAAAGCGAAAUGAAACAGAAGAGCAUUCUACUCUGACCCUUUCUUUUUCAACUCAACUGCUGGGCACAUGGGGUUUUGCACUUUAGGGCCGAAUGAGGGUGACUUCAGCCAAAUCCGGGCUGUUUCUGAAGAAAUGUGAAUAAAUGCAAAAGGCCCUGACUCGAGAGAGCGGCGCUGUCUAGCUGCCCCAGGCAAACGUAAAGAGCCGGACAGGUUUACGCAGCCGGAGCGGUGCCUCGAGGCGGGGGCCCCAGGGUGCGCCCCUAAAGGCUCGCCAGGCCCGAGCCAGCCAGGCCCACGAUGAAGACGCUCCAUCCUGCAAGUCCUGAUUAGGGCUUCUGCGAAACUGUCUUCCAGGACUGUAAUCCCACACCCGCCCUGGGCGGCCCCCGAGACACGGCUGUCCGUCACCGGGAUGGGUACGUGCGCGGCCGGCACGUGGCGGCUCUGAAGCCCAUUCUUUACGUCGCGCCUCGUCUUUCCAUUUCUAAAGGGCGCUCUCCUGGGCAGAGGGCGCAGCCCAUCACAUGUCAGGGCGGAGGAGAGGGAGCCGCUCCUCGGGGGACCCCAGCCCGCUCUCCUCAGGGUAACUGGUGCCCCUUGGGAAGCCUGUGUUCUGCCUCUGCGGAGCGGGUCUCCGUGAGAAGCCGGGCUGCGCGUCACCGCACUGAGCCCCAGAGAGACAGGACGAGUUUAAGAGGGUGUGCAUGUCUGAACUUCACGCUGAAUCAAAAUCCUUUUCCUCCAAAGUCUGAUGUCGUUGGUGGGUGAAGGGACAAGGCCAGCGAGGGGUGAGGGGGCCUGAUCCUGCACGUGGAGAGGGUGGAGGGAGGAGGGCUCGUUGAAGUUACAGCGCGCUGCGGCAGAGGAUGGGGGGCCAGUGUAGCUUUUUGCCUCCUGGGGUCUCCAGCUACCCCUCUCUCACCACCCUGCCCCGCCCCAGCCCAGCCUGAACUGCCCUGGCCCCUCUUCUCGGCCCCAGGGCUCCCCAGGUCACAGACAGACGGCCAGGCAGACCAGAGCCUGGCCCUGGGUCGGGGCAGGGAAGCCAGGACGCGCUCCAAUCUGCCGCCGCUCAGACUAGCGCUUGGAGAGGCUCGAGUUCAGGAGCUGAGCAAAAAUAAACACGGGCUAUAAAUAAGCCCGUAGAUGUCUUCAAGGCCCGAGCGCGACGAGGAGAGGGUGCCACCGCAGAAGUGCUCACUUGAAAAAUUCUAAACGCGUCAAAAUAACUUUGAUAAACUCGCAAAGACGCCUGGCUCAGGGGAAAGGAAUGGGCCCCGCGCCCCGAGAGCCCACUUCCCGCGCCGCCGCCGGGAGAGCCACCGCGGGGCGGGCGGGGCGCGGGGUCCCCUCUGGCGCCGCUGACUCACCGCGGCCCGCGCCUUAAAAGGGCAGUCGCUUCCGGGGCCGACCCGGCGUUGGGGGGGGGGGGGCUCGUUGUCACCUCCUGUGCCCUCGCUCGGAGUGGCACCCCUUCCACUUCAAGGCUGACCGCUAUGCCUGAUCCUACGUCUUUCAACCCGCCUCUCCCUGGAGGAGGCCGUGGACUCCCACGGCGCCCGCGGUCACCCAUCCUCGAUGAGCCUGGACUCUUCAGCCUGGGCCCCCUCUAAACUUCUACGUGAAUGUCCACGGCUUUCCGGGAGCCGCUCCCUCAGUCCAAGUCCCUUGCAGCUCCUCCACUCAUCGCUGUAAACCGGCCGUGUCAAAGAGCUGGAGUCAUCGCCCCUGCACCCUCCCUAGCUGGUGACCAAGCAGACACCCUCCCUCUCCUUUGAACUCUGUCCCCUCCAGACUCUUGCUUCGUCGUUGGUCACGUGCCCAGGCCUCCUCUGCUCUGACUCUCUCAUCCACCUCUUCCGUCCUGUGAACUCCUGGGUCAAGCCUCCGCCGCACUUGCUUCUCAGCCCCUGUUGGCCUGGCUUCCUGCGUGGGGCCCCUCGCCCACCCAGAGCUGCCGUGGACGUGAUCAGGUAGUGGCACUCGUCGCUGUGGCUGAAGCCAGGUCCCUGCCAAGCCUGUCAGCAGGGGAGGGAGAAGGGAGAGUGAAGGGGGGUCGUGCCAGUGUGUCAAGACCCCACCAGGACAUUGCACACCUGAUGGGAGCUCACACCGGCGAGAACUUGGUCACACUUAGCCCCACUAGCUGCAAGAGAGGCUGGGAAAUGUCGUUUCUAGCAGGGUGGUCCUGUGUCCACCUCUCACAGCUGCCUGCUCCGGCCGAAGUCAUUGCCAUCUGCUCAGACAGAAUGGAAACGAGGAUGUAUUGGGCACUUGCCAUGUGCCAGACAUUGUGAUGGCCAUUUUCCGACGUCAUCCCCUUUCACCUUCACCAGUGUUUUACCUACACUGAGACAGCUGGGCCCAGCUUGGCUGGGCUGCUGCCUCCCGAGUCAUGCUCUGUGGAAGUCCUCCGUCUCAGGGCGCCUCUCUAGGUUAGUUUUUUGCAUGUCUGCCUCCCCCACUGAGUAUGUGCUUAAUAAAUGCUCUACUAAGUGGUGAAUCAGAGUGGGUUCAUUAAAUUAGCUCAUGAAAAUUA
Molecule: long non-coding RNA, 3581 nt
Organism: Equus caballus (horse)
Lineage: Eukaryota; Metazoa; Chordata; Mammalia; Perissodactyla; Equidae
Source: RefSeq, a predicted model, not a curated record